This 238-nucleotide ribosomal RNA is filed under the name uncultured bacterium. RNAcentral's name for it is "partial 16S ribosomal RNA". It matches the Rfam family "Bacterial small subunit ribosomal RNA", at positions 1250 to 1500 of the family's 1533-position model. The record is from RNAcentral.
CAAAACAGUGAUGUGGAGGCAAAACUCAAAAANACGGUCUCAGUUCGGACUGAAGGCUGAAAUUCGCCUUCACGAAGUCGGAAUUGCUAGUAAUGGCAGGUCAGCAUACUGCCGUGAAUACGUUCCCGGGCCUUGUACACACCGCCCGUCACACCAUGAGAGUUGAGAAUACCCGAAGCCCAUGUCAAAGUGGUCGAAGGUAGGCUUGAUGAUUGGGGUGAAGUCGUAACAAGGUACC